This 253-nucleotide ribosomal RNA is filed under the name uncultured bacterium. Its description in RNAcentral is "partial 16S ribosomal RNA". It matches the Rfam family "Bacterial small subunit ribosomal RNA", at positions 524 to 776 of the family's 1533-position model. The record is from RNAcentral.
UACGUAGGGAGCAAGCGUUGUUCGGAAUUACUGGGCGUAAAGCGCACGUAGGCGGACAUUUAAGUCAGGGGUGAAAUCCCAGAGCUCAACUCUGGAACUGCCUUUGAUACUGGGUGUCUUGAGUAUGGAAGAGGUGAGUGGAAUUCCGAGUGUAGAGGUGAAAUUCGUAGAUAUUCGGAGGAACACCAGUGGCGAAGGCGGCUCACUGGUCCAUUACUGACGCUGAGGUGCGAAAGCGUGGGGAGCAAACAGG